AGUGAACGCUGGCGGUAGGCCUAACACAUGCGAGUCGAACGGCAGCACAGUAAGAGCUUGCUCUUACGGGUGGCGAGUGGCGGACGGGUGAGGAAUACAUAGGAAUCUACUUUUUCGGGGGGGAUAACGUAGGGAAACUUACGCUAAUACCGCAUACGACCUACGGGUGAAAGCAGGGGAUCUUCGCACCUUGCGCGACUGAAUGAGCCGAUGUCGGAUUAGCUAGUUGGCGGGGUAAAGGCCCACCAAGGCGACGAUCCGUAGCUGGUCUGAGAGGAUGAUCAGCCACACUGGAACUGAGACACGGUCCAGACUCCUACGGGAGGCAGCAGUGGGGAAUAUUGGACAAUGGGCGCAAGCCUGAUCCAGCCAUACCGCGUGGGUGAAGAAGGCCUUCGGGUUGUAAAGCCCUUUUGUUGGGAAAGAAAAGCAGCAGGUUAAUACCCCGCUGUUCUGACGGUACCCAAAGAAUAAGCACCGGCUAACUUCGUG
Molecule: ribosomal RNA, 492 nt
Filed under: uncultured bacterium
Lineage: Bacteria
Description: partial 16S ribosomal RNA
Rfam family: Bacterial small subunit ribosomal RNA
Source: RNAcentral